This 253-nucleotide ribosomal RNA is filed under the name uncultured bacterium. RNAcentral's name for it is "partial 16S ribosomal RNA". It matches the Rfam family "Bacterial small subunit ribosomal RNA", at positions 524 to 776 of the family's 1533-position model. The record is from RNAcentral.
UACGUAGGGGGCAAGCGUUGUCCGGAAUCAUUGGGCGUAAAGCGCGUGUAGGCGGUUCGGUAAGUCUGCUGUGAAAGUCCAGGGCUCAACCCUGGGAUGCCGGUGGAUACUGUCGGACUAGAGUACGGAAGAGGCGAGUGGAAUUCCCGGUGUAGCGGUGAAAUGCGCAGAUAUCGGGAGGAACACCAAUUGCGAAGGCAGCUCGCUGGGACGUCACUGACGCUGAGACACGAAAGCCAGGGGAGCAAACGGG